GUCCCCUCUCGGCGUUUUCGUUAAAAUCAAAUGUAGUAGUUGUUUGUAUCAAUUUAGCCUGUGGUAAGUUUUGUGUCGGAAAAUAACACCUUAAAUGAGUUUUUAAAACCGAGAGUCAGAACGGAGAGUCGUUUUCGUUUGUUCUGCGCACCGGGUUUUUCUUGCACUGUUGUUGCAGACAGUGCAUUUCCA
Molecule: small nuclear RNA, 192 nt
Organism: Aethalodelphis obliquidens (Pacific white-sided dolphin)
Lineage: Eukaryota; Metazoa; Chordata; Mammalia; Artiodactyla; Delphinidae
Product: U2 spliceosomal RNA
Exons: 1
Source: RefSeq, a predicted model, not a curated record